UACGUAGGUGGCAAGCGUUGUUCGGAAUGACUGGGCGUAAAGGGCGUGUAGGUGGACUGAUCAGUCGGGUGUGAAAUAUCCAGGCUCAACCUGGAGGGUGCAUCCGAUACGGUCAGUCUUGAGUGCAGGAGAGGGCAGUGGAAUUCCCAGUGUAGCGGUGAAAUGCGUAGAUAUUGGGAGGAACACCAGUGGCGAAGGCGGCUGCCUGGACUGUAACUGACACUGAGGCGCGAAAGCGUGGGGAGCAAACAGGAUUA
This 257-nucleotide ribosomal RNA is filed under the name uncultured prokaryote. RNAcentral describes it as "partial 16S ribosomal RNA". It matches the Rfam family "Bacterial small subunit ribosomal RNA", at positions 524 to 780 of the family's 1533-position model. The record is from RNAcentral.